This 29-nucleotide non-coding RNA is filed under the name Bombyx mori (domestic silkworm). Lineage: Eukaryota; Metazoa; Arthropoda; Insecta; Lepidoptera; Bombycidae. The record is from RNAcentral.
ACUAUAGACAAGGUUACCAGAACGGUAUC